AGAGUUUGAUUCUGGCUCAGAGCAAACGUUGGCGGCGGGGCUUAGACAUGCAAGUCGAGCGGUAAGGUCCCUUCGGGGAUACACGAGCGGCGAACGGGAGAGUAAUACCUGGACAACCUACCUCGCAAUCGGGGAUAGCCACUGGAAACGGUGGGUAAUACCCGAUGGUCCGAGCGGGUCACAUGACCUGCCCGGUAAAGGUGAUUCCGUUGCGGGACGGGCCCAGGCCCCAUUAGCUUGUUGGUGUGGUAACGGCGCACCAAGGCGACGAUGGGUAGCGGGCCUGAGAGGGUGAUCCGCCUCACUGGGACUGAGACACUGCCCAGACUCCUACGGGAGGCUGCAGUCACGAAUCAUUGGCAAUGUACGCAAGUAUGACCAUGCCACGCCGCGUGGGCGAUGAAGGCCUUCGGGUUGUAAAGCCCUGUCAGGGGUAAGGAAAUGCACGGGUCCACUCGUGCUUGACGUUAGCCCCAGAGGAAGUCACGGCUAACUCCGUGCCAGCAGCCGCGGUAAGACGGAGGUGGCAAACGUUGCUCGGAAUCACUGGGCUUAAAGGGCGUGUAGGCGGCCGUCUAAGUCGGGUGUGAAAUCCCUCGGCUCAACCGAGGAACCGCAUCCGAUACUGGACAGCUAGAGUGCGGUAGGGGCAAGUGGAGCUCCAGGUGUAGCGGUGAAAUGCGUAGAUAUCUGGAGGAACGCCGGUGGCGAAAGCGACUUGCUGGCCCGCAACUGACGCUGAGGCGCGAAAGCUAGGGGAGCGAACGGGAUUAGAUACCCCGGUAGUCCUAGCCCUAAACGAUGAGCACUUGGCUGUGGUCCGUUCCACUGGAUCACAGCCGGAGCGAAAGUGAUAAGUGCUCCGCCUGGGGA
Molecule: ribosomal RNA, 873 nt
Filed under: uncultured Planctomycetota bacterium
Lineage: Bacteria; Pseudomonadati; Planctomycetota
Description: bacterial SSU rRNA
Rfam family: Bacterial small subunit ribosomal RNA
Source: RNAcentral